UCCUACGGGAGGCAGCAGUAGGGAAUCUUCGGCAAUGGACGGAAGUCUGACCGAGCAACGCCGCGUGAGUGAAGAAGGUUUUCGGAUCGUAAAGCUCUGUUGUAAGAGAAGAACGAGUGUGAGAGUGGAAAGUUCACACUGUGACGGUAUCUUACCAGAAAGGGACGGCUAACUACGUGCCAGCAGCCGCGGUAAUACGUAGGUCCCAAGCGUUGUCCGGAUUUAUUGGGCGUAAAGGGAGCGCAGGCGGUCAGGAAAGUCUGGAGUAAAAGGCUAUGGCUCAACCAUAGUGUGCUCUGGAAACUGUCUGACUUGAGUGCAGAAGGGGAGAGUGGAAUUCCAUGUGUAGCGGUGAAAUGCGUAGAUAUAUGGAGGAACACCAGUGGCGAAAGCAGCUCUCUGGUCUGUCACUGACGCUGAGGCUCGAAAGCGUGGGUAGCGAACAGGAUUAGAUACCCUGGUAGUCCACGCCGUAAACGAUGAGUGCUAGGUGUUAGGCCCUUUCCGGGGCUUAGUGCCGGAGCUAACGCAAUAAGCACUCCGCCUGGGGAGUACGACCGCAAGGUUGAAACUCAAAGGAAUUGACGGGGGCCCGCACAAG
Molecule: ribosomal RNA, 601 nt
Filed under: uncultured bacterium
Lineage: Bacteria
Description: bacterial SSU rRNA
Rfam family: Bacterial small subunit ribosomal RNA
Source: RNAcentral